AUGAUUCGUGGGACGUCCUGCCGGUGGUGGCGAGUCGAAGGUGCGCACCCGUCGUGGUUUCCACUUCGGUUCUUGCGCGCCCGAGGCGGACCCCGAUGAAAUCCUACCGCGGUGCUCUUCGCCGAGUGUCGAGGUGGGCCGGCACGUUUACUUUGAACAAAUUAGAGUGCUUAAAGCAGGCCUGUUGCGCCUGAAUACUGUGUGCAUGGAAUAAUGGAAUAGGACCUCGGUUCUAUUUUGUUGGUUUUCGGAACCCGAGGUAAUGAUUAAUAGGGACAGGCGGGGGCAUUCGUAUUGCGACGUUAGAGGUGAAAUUCUUGGAUCGUCGCAAGACGGACCGAAGCGAAAGCAUUUGCCAAGUAUGUUUUCAUUAAUCAAGAACGAAAGUUAGAGGUUCGAAGGCGAUCAGAUACCGCCCUAGUUCUAACCAUAAACGAUGCCAGCUAGCGAUCCGCCGAAGUUCCUCCGAUGACUCGGCGGGCAGCUCCCGGGAAACCAAAGCUUUUGGGUUCCGGGGGAAGUAUGGUUGCAAAGCUGAAACUUAAAGGAAUUGACGGAAGG
RNAcentral lists this ribosomal RNA (561 nucleotides) under Tylopsis lilifolia. RNAcentral's name for it is "SSU rRNA". It matches the Rfam family "Eukaryotic small subunit ribosomal RNA", at positions 720 to 1163 of the family's 1831-position model. The record is from RNAcentral. Lineage: Eukaryota; Metazoa; Arthropoda; Insecta; Orthoptera; Tettigoniidae.